AUUGCUUGCAAUCCGCUGACGACCGGCGCACGGGUGCGUAACGCGUAUGCAACCUACCUUUUACAGGGGGAUAGUCAAGAGAAAUUUUGAAUAAUACCCCAUACGAUCUGAUUCACUCCUGUGAAACAGAAGAAAAUUACGAUGGUAAAAGAUGGGCAUGCGUCCUAUUAGUUUGUUGGUAAGGUAACGGCUUACCAAGACUACGAUAGGUAGGGGUCCUGAGAGGGAGAUCCCCCACACUGGUACUGAGACACGGACCAGACUCCUACGGGAGGCAGCAGUGAGGAAUAUUGGACAAUGGAGGCAACUCUGAUCCAGCCAUGCCGCGUGCAGGAAGACGGCCCUAUGGGUUGUAAACUGCUUUUAUACAGAAAGAAACGUUAGUACGUGUACUAACCUGACGGUACUGUAAGAAUAAGGAUCGGCUAACUCCGUGCCAGCAGCCGCGGUAAUACGGAGGAUCCAAGCGUUAUCCGGAAUCAUUGGGUUUAAAGGGUCCGCAGGCGGUCUGAUAAGUCAGAGGUGAAAUCCUAUCGCUCAACGAUAGAACUGCCUUUGAUACUGUUAGACUUGAGUUAUUGUGAAGUAGUUAGAAUGUGUAGUGUAGCGGUGAAAUGCAUAGAUAUUACACAGAAUACCGAUUGCGAAGGCAGAUUACUAACAAUACACUGACGCUCAGGACGAAAGCGUGGGUAGCGAACAGGAUUAGAUACCCUGGUAGUCCACGCCGUAAACGAUGGUCACUAGCUGUUUGAUGCACAUUGGUGUGUUGAGUGGCUAAGCGAAAGUGAUAAGUGACCCACCUGGGGAGUACGCUCGCAAGAGUGAAACUC
Molecule: ribosomal RNA, 833 nt
Filed under: uncultured marine bacterium
Lineage: Bacteria
Description: bacterial SSU rRNA
Rfam family: Bacterial small subunit ribosomal RNA
Source: RNAcentral